GAGGCAGGAAAAACGCAGCGCCGGGGCCACUUACCGCGCCGAGGACCCUCGGUUCCCGCCGCUCCGCUCUCCCAAAUGGUCGGUCCGCCCUCCGCGCACCCCAAGGCUGCACCCCGCACCCCAAAGUCGAGACGUGUAGGAAUAUUGUUAAGAGCCAGGAGCCCCUCCAAGUUGCUCCGGGCUCCUGGGAGCUUCAACGUCCAAGACACAACUUGGCCAAGACUUGUGCCACGGUCCCCGAAGAUGUUUCGGUGGAGACCCUCCUCCGGCGGGGAGAGACGCGCUCGGCGGCGCCCCGCUCGCCGCCUCUCCACCCCCUCACCUCCAGCCCGCCUCCCGCCGGCCGCCCGCCCCCGGGCCGCGAGCCCCUCGGGCGGCUGUCAGCUCCCGGCCGCCGCCGGGUGACAGGGGCGGGAGGAGGGCGCGACGCGGCGGCCCGAGCCCGAGCGGGCGAGGGGGAUCCUCGCAGCAGCGGCGGCCGCUCACCUGGAAAGUCACCGCUGAGAAGGAGGAGGAGGAGGAGGAGGAAGAGUGGGGAGAGGAGGAGGGGGAGGAAACCCCCCUGGUGCCCUUGUUCUCGCUGCCGCGGCGGCCGCUCCUCGCCAAGGCUGAGCGUGUCUGGUGGGGGGUGUCUGGUAGCAUUUCCUUAAGGACAGAGGGAGGGCGGGCGCGGAGGGAGGGAAGAGAUCCCGACCGCCUGCCCAGGCUCCUCUUUCCUCUAUUUAUUUUUCUGACACUGUACGGCGAUGGGCCCGGGGCAGGGGCCGCCGGGCUCGCGAGGGAGCCGCGAGGCCCGGGCCGCAGCAGUGUGCGUGCGGGAGCCGCAGCGGCCGCCUCCCCUCCCGGGCUGUGGACGCACCGGGUUAUUCCUGGCAGCGCCUCCCCGAACAGAAGUUACUAGGAGGAGUGCGCGGCGAGGGCGGGCGCGGGGAGAGGCGGGGGGAGGGAGGGAGGAAGAGGGAGAGACUCAGCCAGCGACGUCAUCGGAUCCCCCAGCGCGUCCCUAGGAGGGAGGCUGAACCAGAAAAACCAGUCUGGAGCCGGCGAGCGCGAGAGGGAUGUGCGGCGCGCCGGGCGGCCGGGGAGGGAGGCGGCCGGGAGGGCAGGGCCGGGCCCCGCCGCGGCCGCUCCGGGCGGGAAGAUCGCGGCCGCGGUCACGCUCCCUCGGAUCGGGGAACUCCCCCGAGAGCCGGUCUCUACUCGUCAUGCAAAAAAAAAAAGACUUGGGCGUCUCUAGGAGCCCGAGAACUUCCUUCAGGGAUGUGAAAUCUCCUCCCCGCCCCCCAUCUUCCCCAUUUCCCGUAUAACCGUUCCCUGUGUUGAUGACAAACGGAAUUACUGAAUAUUUAGGAUGGUCAUGAUUUUGUCCGUGGACCUCUGAUCCCUUUCCUCGCUCUCGCCCUCGGCUCUACUCACGGUUAUGUUAUCGGUCAACAGAAACAAAAUCAGACUGUAGCUCCUGGCUGCGCUUCUCAAGCUGUGCCAAGCGUUUUACUAGCACUUUCCGUGCCCCUGCGGAAGCACGAACUUUUCAGGCGCUCGAAAGGCCCCCAUUGCCUCCCCUGGGGUCGCUCGCCAGGGCGCCGCGGGCGCACCCAGCUCUGGGAACGCGGCCCGCCCUCGCCGGGGUAUUCAAAUCGGGGUGGGCAGCGGCGCGGGGCGCAGCUGCCGGCUUCCUGGUGGGCCGUGCCGGGGCCCGGGGCGGGCCGCCGCCUCCAGCCCGCGCGCUGCCCUCUCCUCGGACGGGACGCGAGCGACACCCUACCCGGCGCGGGAAGCGAGGGGCCCGGGGAAUCCCAGCUUCCUUUCCCAUCAAACUCACGUUCUCUCAAACCUGCUGAUCUCAGAGAGUUGUCAACAGAAAAACCAACUAUUCAAGCCUAAAGUGAAAAUAUAAUUUCCGAAGAGUGAAGCGACUUCGUGGAAACACAGGAUCCCAUCCAGGAGGCCAUUUAGUCAUCAUGUCUCCUCAGGAGCCUCCAGACUGUGGCAGUUUCUCAGACUUCCCUUGUUUUUGGUGACCUUGACAGUUUGGAGCAACUCUGGUUAAAUAUUUUGUAGACUGUCCCUCAAUUUGUACUCAUGUGAUCUUUUUCCUCAUGACUAGACAGAGGUUAUGAAUUUGGAGAAGAAGAACACAGAGUUGUAGGUCCCUCUGGCUGAGCUAUGUGGGAUGCUGCCUCAGCAUGGCUUGAGGAGCGGUGCCACGUCUGCCCCGAGGAUCCAAACUGGCGAAACCCUCGGCCAAGGAAAUGGAGUGCAUGAACUUAACCACUCGGCCAUGGGGCAGGCCCUAGAUUUCUCUUAAUGUUAAUAUGAGUAAAGGUGAUGCGUGGGUCUUUGCUUGAUGGGCAGAAGGGCUUUUCACCCCUCCUGAGGCCUACCUGAAAUUCUCAGACAUCCGGUCACCCUUCACAAGCUCUGUGGACUUGCACAGGAGGAAGGAGCAGCUCCACUCUGUCAGUUUGCAUCACCUCAGGAAACCCAGCCGGAAAAAGCCGCUCCUAUUCCAGUUUCUCGUCUCUCACACCUCCCACUAAAGAGCCCCAAGAGUCUGCUUCUGAAAAAUAAAUUUUAUAUAGUGAAGUGAUAAGAGAACAAAACACGUCCUGAUUUGAAGCUCCAUUUUUAACACCAUUUUUGUGAAAUGACAAAACAAAAAGAACAAAUUUAAGAAACAUGAGAAGCCCCAUUCAUUU
This is a long non-coding RNA of Equus asinus (donkey), 2699 nucleotides long. Lineage: Eukaryota; Metazoa; Chordata; Mammalia; Perissodactyla; Equidae. The record is from Ensembl.